Long non-coding RNA from Solanum pennellii, 601 nucleotides. RefSeq lists it as uncharacterized. The record is from RefSeq and is a predicted model, not a curated record. The transcript is spliced from 2 exons. NCBI's taxonomy places the organism in Eukaryota, Viridiplantae, Streptophyta, Magnoliopsida, Solanales, Solanaceae.
CAUUUGCCUCAUCAUUUAAUUCUUAUUUUUGAGAUAUAUAUUGAGAUAUAUAUAAUUAAAAUUAUAAAUUUGCUUUUAGAUUUUUUUGUGUGAUAUUCUUGCAUUUUUUUGAUGAAUUUUUUCGUUAUAAUUUCUUACUCAACUACUUAAUAGGAAUUGUCUCUAUUUUUGUAAAGAAUGAGUUAAUCUCAUGUAUGAAUCGAUAAAUUUUAGUACAAAUUCAAAAUUUAAAGUUAGUAAAUUUUCCGAAGAUGUCGUUGAUUUUAUUUUUGAUAUUAUUAUUCUGCCUCGACAUACAGUUGUUAUUUGCUAGUGCAGCACCAUUAAGAUUCACAUAGAAAAUAUGAAACUAAAUUUGCCCAAUUUUUCAAUACAUGAGAAUCUUGAUGAUGCUGCAUCGGCAAAUGGAUGACUUGAUUCUUUAAUUCUACAAGAAAAUUUGGGCAAUUUAUCUUUAUUUGGUUUUGAUGCAGAGGAUGAAGCUAUUCGUGCCUAAAAUAUAGUUAUAUGGAGCAAAAAUUAUGUUAUUGUUUGGGACAAUACAUAUCGAAUUAUUAUAUUGAAAUUAUUUUUUUGAUAUGGUAAUUUAAUUAUUAUGACA